CCUGAUGCAGCAACGCCGCGUGAGGGAUGACGGCCUUCGGGUUGUAAACCUCUUUUAGCAAGGAAGAAGCGAAAGUGACGGUACUUGCAGAAAAAGCGCCGGCUAACUACGUGCCAGCACCCGCGGUAAUACGUAGGGCGCAAGCGUUAUCCGGAAUUAUUGGGCGUAAAGAGCUCGUACGCGGUUUGUCGCGUCUGCUGGGAAAUCCCGAGGCUCAACCUCGGGCCUGCAGUGGGUACGGGCAGACUAGAGUGCGGAAGGGGAGAUUGGAAUUCCUGGUGUAGCGGUGGAAUGCCCAGAUAUCAAGAGGAACGCCGAUAGCGAAGGCGGAUCUCUGGUCCGUAACGGACGCUCAUGAGCGAAAGGGUGGGGAGCAAACAGGCUUAGAUACCCUGGUAGUCCACCCCGUAAACGGUGGGAACUAGUUGUGGGGUCCUUUCCACGGAUUCCGUGACGCAACUAACGCAUUAAGUUCCCCGCCUGGGGAGUACGGCCGCCAGGCUAAUACUCACAGGAAUUGACGGGGACCCGGCACAAGCGGCGGAGCAUGCGGAUUAAUUCAAUGCAACGCUUAGAACCUUACCAAGGCUUGACAUACACGAGAACACUCUAGAAAUAGGGGACUCU
This 627-nucleotide ribosomal RNA is filed under the name Microbacteriaceae bacterium So2Pw_1350. RNAcentral's name for it is "bacterial SSU rRNA". It matches the Rfam family "Bacterial small subunit ribosomal RNA", at positions 382 to 1017 of the family's 1533-position model. Lineage: Bacteria; Bacillati; Actinomycetota; Actinomycetes; Micrococcales; Microbacteriaceae. The record is from RNAcentral.